ACUUCCCUGUGAGCCAGGGACCCAGAACAGAUAGUCUUACUUCACCCUGGCUUUUGCAGGACAAGAUGGAGCUCAUACAGCAUUGAUUUCGUCAGUGUCUAGGGACCUGUGGUGAUCACAGAUAUUCUCUCCUGGGAGAAAUAUCUUGAUCAAAUGAGGGAAAUGUGAGCUUAUCAAUGUUCCACACUUGCCAUCAGUAAUUUCAUCUUUGUCUACUGACUUCACAUUAAUACUGCCGAUGAACUUUGAGAUCUACAAAGUAACACUUCCUUCACAAAUAUUUGUACUCUCAACAGUACACACUAUAAAGAAACCGGUCACUAUCUUUAAGAACUUUAUAUAUAUAGCUUUUCUGACAAACUGAUGUAAUUUAUUCACGUUUAAUCAACUAAUGAAAUAAUCUGACAAACAAUAUAUGUAAACUAAAUAAGUUUUUCUCAAUGUAAGCCCUCUUUCCUCUUUCAGGUGGUGCAGUCUCUGGCUGCUAACUGGGUUGUAAUCCCUGUUCCUGAAUAAAUGUUUAUUUGCCUCU
Molecule: long non-coding RNA, 532 nt
Organism: Homo sapiens (human)
Lineage: Eukaryota; Metazoa; Chordata; Mammalia; Primates; Hominidae
Source: Ensembl